Molecule: ribosomal RNA, 304 nt
Filed under: uncultured bacterium
Lineage: Bacteria
Description: partial 16S ribosomal RNA
Rfam family: Bacterial small subunit ribosomal RNA
Source: RNAcentral
CAGCAGCAGCCGCGGUAAUACGUAGGUGGCAAGCGUUGUCCGGAAUUAUUGGGCGUAAAGGGCUCGCAGGCGGUUUCUUAAGUCUGAUGUGAAAGCCCCCGGCUCAACCGGGGAGGGUCAUUGGAAACUGGGAAACUUGAGUGCAGAAGAGGAGAGUGGAAUUCCACGUGUAGCGGUGAAAUGCGUAGAGAUGUGGAGGAACACCAGUGGCGAAGGCGACUCUCUGGUCUGUAACUGACGCUGAGGAGCGAAAGCGUGGGGAGCGAACAGGAUUAGAUACCCCUGUAGUCCCUGUCUCUUAUAC